UACGUAGGCAGUAAGCGUUGUUCGGAGUUACUGGGCGUAAAGGGUGUGUAGGCGGUUGUUUAAGUUUGGUGUGAAAUCUCCCGGCUCAACCGGGAGGGUGCGCCGAAUACUGAAUGACUAGAGUGCGGGAGAGGAAAGUGGAAUUCCUGGUGUAGCGGUGAAAUGCGUAGAUAUCAGGAGGAACACCGGUGGUGUAGACGGCUUUCUGGACCGUAACUGACGCUGAGACACGAAAGCGUGGGUAGCAAACAGG
Molecule: ribosomal RNA, 253 nt
Filed under: uncultured bacterium
Lineage: Bacteria
Description: partial 16S ribosomal RNA
Rfam family: Bacterial small subunit ribosomal RNA
Source: RNAcentral